Molecule: non-coding RNA, 20121 nt
Organism: Callithrix jacchus (white-tufted-ear marmoset)
Lineage: Eukaryota; Metazoa; Chordata; Mammalia; Primates; Cebidae
Source: RefSeq, a predicted model, not a curated record
UAAAAAUAUUUACAGCCAUAAAAUUUCCUUUAAUCAAUUGGAUUUUAAUGAAGCUUAGAAAUUAGACAUUUAAAAUUGAUUUUUCUUCUCUAAUGUGCCAUAUAUCCUUUAUUGGCUGACUUUACUAUCUAAAUACUAAAUCUGACUUAUGUAGCUGUAUUUCAGGGAUCCUAGCUCCAAAAUGGAAGUCAUAAAGACUUCCACAAGAGCAGUUUUCAGUGCCCUAUCAGAGUGGAUUGAAGUGUGAAUGAGAGUUAAGGAAGCAAAGGCAAAGAGUGGGAACAUUAUUUGUAUUGUGAUCCUGUGGGAAAAAAGAGCAAACAAAUAGGGAAGUAGUGGCGGCCGGGCACGGUGGCUCAUGCCUAUAAUCCCAGCACUUUGGGAAGCCGAGAUGGGUGGAUCACAAGGUCAAGAGAUCGAGACCGUCCUGGCCAACAAGGUGAAACCCCGUCUCUACUAAAAAUACCAAAAUUAGCUGGGCAUGCUGGUGCACACGUGUAGUCCCAGCUACUCGGGAAGCUGAGGCAGGAGAAUUGCUUGAACCCAGGAGGCGGAGGUUGCGGAGAGCCGAGAUCGUGCCAUUGCACUCCAGUCUGGGUGACGACAGCGAAACUCCGUCUCAAAAAAAAAAAAAUAGGGAAGUAGUUGGAAGGAGCUAUAGCAUCUAUAAAAAAUAGGAUUCUUUUAAUCAUGGAAGAAACUAAAGCAUGUUUGUGUGCUGCUGAAGGUGACCUGGUAGAGGCAAAGGUUGAAAGUGUGUAGGAAGUAACUCCAGUCCUAGAGUUCCUGUAAAGGUAAGAAGAGAUCCAGAGAUCAAAUGGACAGGAAGAAACAAAUUUGGGAGAGCCAGAGGUAGAUAGUGAAAGAAAACUACUGAAGUGACCGCAAAACGCAUAAAUGUAUUGCUCUAAAUUCACACAAAUUGUAUCCCCAAUUCAACUUCAAACAAGCCAGAUCCUAAAUAUGCCACAGUGUGCCAGAGGAAGUAUGAUGAAGGGAGAGUGUAUGCAGCAAAAUACAGCAGUCUUAACCAAUUGUCUUUAAAAUAUAUUCCCUUGCAAAUUCUCUAGCUAUGCAUAUGAAGAGCCUGAAGAUAAAGCUUUGUUACCUUUGGAGUAAAUCUACCUAUGGUUGUUUGUGUUUGUUUCAAUAAAUAAUAGGGGAAGUGAUGAGCUGUGGUAAAAAGAGGAUACUUUUGACAAGAUUGAAAAAUUAUGAAACACUCUCAGAGAGUUGGAAAGCAACUUGGGGAAAAGUAGUAAAGUUGCAAGCAUUAUUCAAUCCUCAUUUCAGGUAUUUGUCUUGAAUUUAAAGUUAAAGCAGUCAGCCAAAUUGUGAUUUUUCUCCAACAUCUUUGCGCAUUUGUAGAAAAGGCAGAAUGUUGGAUUCGACCAAUAUUAAGUUCAACUAGGUAAAUGUAACAUCAAAAAAAAACAGUUUGCUAAGUGAUAUUUGCAAGAAAUUGUUUAUAACGAUGGACUGUUAAUGAAUCUCAGCUUAGGAAAGAGGAAAAGAUAGGUAAAUAGAGACAAGGUAAAUUUAGCAUAUCAGUGAUACAUCAAUAAUAACUGUUGCAGAGGAAUUCUAGGAUACUGUAAGAAGUUAACUGAAACUAUAAGAAAUGACAAUCAGCCAGUGGUAUCUUUGCAAUUGUGAUUUCAAAGGUAAUAUAGAUCAUUGUGAUGACAAAGUCUAAGUGUUAUCUUUGGAACAGGUUACUGAGAUGGAGAAGAAGAGAUUGGUUAUGAACAUAGAUUGUUUAUUUUGUUCAAUUUAGUGGAAUUCUUGGAGCAGUAGCAUGUACAAGUUACCUUGGAAGGAGUUGGAGACACAAAGAUGGACAAGAUUCCGUUCCCUGCUUCAAGGAGCUCAGUAUAAAUAUGCAAAGUGCUACAGUAGGGAUACUAACACGGAAAGAAGGAUACCUAACCCAAUCAGGGAUCAGGUGAACGGACUUCGAAAACAACAUUUGUUUAUGUUGAACCACCAUUGCAUCCUGGGGAUGAAGGCUACUUGAUUGUGGUGGACAAGCUUUUUGAUGCACUGCUGGAUUCAGUUUUUCAGUAUUUUGUUGAGGAUUUUUGCAUCAAUGUUCAAGGAUAUUGGCCUGAAGUUUUUGUUGUUGUUGUGUUCUGCCAGGUUUUGGUAUCAAGAUAAUGCUAGCCUCAUAGAAUGAGUUAGGAAGGAGCCCUUCUUUUUUUAUUUUUUUGGGAUAGUUUUAGUAGAAAUGAUGCCAGCUCUUCUUUGUAUAUCUGGGAGAAUUCAGCUGUGAAUCCAUCUGGUCCUGGAUUUUAGAGGUUGGAGGCUAUUACUGCCUCAAUUUCAGAAUUCAUUAUUGGUCUGUUCAGGAAUUCAAUUUCUUCCUGGUUCAGUCUUGUGGGGGGUGGAGGAGGUGUAUAAGUCCAGGAAUUUAUCUAUUUCUUCUAGAUUUUCUAGUUUAUGUGCACAGAAGUGUUUAUAAUUUCUGAUGGUUGUUUGUAUUUCUGUGGGGACAGUGGCAAUACUCCCCUUAUCAUUUUUUAUUAUGUCUAUUUGAUUCUUCUCUCUUUUCUUCUUUAUUAGUCUAGCUAGAAGUCUAUCUGUUUUAUUAAGUUUUUCCAAAAAAUGGCUCCUGUAUUUGUCAAUCUUCUAAUGCUUUUUCCUUUGUAUCUCUCCUUCAGUUUGGCUCUGGUUUUUGUUAUUUCUUGACUUCUGUUAGUUUUGGGGCUUGUUUGCUCUUAGUUAUCUAGUUCUUUCAGUUCUGAUGUUAGGUUGUUAACUUGAGAUCUUUCUAGCUUUUUGAUGAGAGCAUUCACGACUAUAAAUUACCCUUUUAACACUGCUUUAGCAGUGUCCCAGAGUUUCUGGUAUGCAAACAAUAAAUGGAUUCAUCACAUAAACAGAACUAAAGACAAAAACCGUAUGAUUAUCUUAAUGCAGAAAAAGCCUUCAGUAAAAUUCAACAUCUCUUUAUGUUAAAAAAAAAUACUCUCAAUAAACUAGGUACUCAAGGACAAUACCUCAAAAUAAUAAGAGCCAUAUAUGACAAAACCACAGCCAAUAUCAUACUGAAUGGGCAAAAGCUGGAAGCAGUCACCUUAAAAACUGGCACAAGACAAGAACACCCUCUCUCACCACUCUUAUUCAACAUAAUGUUCAAAGUUCUGGCCAGGGCAAUCAGGCAAGAGAAAGAAAUAAUGGGCAUUCAAAUAGGAAGGGAGGAAGUCAAACUAUCCCUGUUUGCAGAUGACAUGAUCCUAUAUCUAGAAAACUCCAUCAUCUCAGCCCAAAAACUUCUUAAGUUGAUAAGCAACUUCAGCAAAGUCUCAGGAUAUAAAAUCAAUGUGCAAAAAUCACUAGCUUUUCUAUCUACCAGCAAUAGUCAAGCUGAGAAUCAAAUUACAAAUGAGUUCCCAUUCACAAUUGACAUAAGAAGAAAAAAACAUCUAGGAAUUCAGCUAACAAGGGAAGUGAAUGAUCUUUACAAGUUAAACUACAAACCACUGCACAGAGAAAUCAGACAUGACACAAACAAAUGGAAAAACAUUCCAUGUUCAUGGAUAGGAAGACUCAAUAUCACUAAAAUGGCCAUGCUGCCCAAAGCCACUUAUAGAUUCAAUACUCUUCCCAUUAAAUUACCAUUGACAUUCUUUGCAGAACUAGAAAAAAACUAUUUAAAUUCAUGUGGAACCAAAAAAGAGCCCAAAUAGCCAAGGCAACCCUAGGCAAAAAAAUAAAAAAAUAAAAACAAAACUGGAGGCAUAUCAUGCUACCUGACUUUAAACUAUACUACAGGCUUGCUACAGUAACCAAAACAGCAUGGUACUGAUACAAGAGCAGACACAUAGACCAAUGGAACAGAAUAGAAAACCCAGAAAUAAGACCACACACCUACAAUUAUCCAAUCUUCAACAAACCUGACAAAAGCAAGCAAUGAGAAAAGAAUUCCAUGUUGAAUAAAUGGUGCUGGGAUAACUGGCUAGCCAUAUGCAGAAAGUUGAAACUGGAACCCUUCCUUAUACAAUAUACAUAAAUUAACUCAAGAUCAAUUAAAGAUGUAAAUGUAAAACCCCAAACCAUAAAAAGCCCUAGAAGAAAACCUAGGUAGUACUAUUGAAGACAUAGGCAUGGGCAAAGAUUUCAUGAUAAAGAUGCCAAAAGCAAUUGCAACUAAAGCAAAAAUUAGCAAAUAGGAUCUAAUUAAAUGAAAGUGCUUAUGCACAGCAAAAGAAACUAUCAACAAACUACAAAGACAACCUACAGAAUGGGAGAAAAAUUUUGCAAGCUAUGCAUCUGACAAAAAUCUAAUAUCCAGCAUCUAUAAGGAACUAAAAUUUACAAGAAAAAAAAACAACCCAUUAAAAAGUGGGCAAAGGACAUGAACAGACACAUCUCAAAAGAAGACAUAGAUGCACCCAAGAAUUAUAUGAAAAAUAAAAAAGCUCAACAUCACUGCUCAUUAAAGAAAUGCAAACCAAAACCACAGUGAGAUACCACAUUACCCCACCAGUUAGAAUGGCUAUUAUUUAAAAGUCAAAAAACAACAGAUCCGGUGAGGUUAUGGAGAAAAAUGAUCACUUAUACACUGUUGAUGGAAGUAUAAAUCAGUUCAACCAUUGUGGAAGGUAGUGUGACAAUUCCUCAAAGACCUAAAGAUAGAACUACCAUUUGAACCAGCAAUCCCAUUACUAGGUAUAUACCCAAAGGAAUAUAAAUUGUUCUAUUAUAAAGAUGUAUACACAUGUAUGUUCAUUGCAGCACUGUUCACAAUAGCAAAGACAGGUUAUCAACCUAUAUGCCCAUCAAUGAGAGAUUGGAUAAAGAAAAUGUAGUGCAUAUAUAUCAAGGAAUAUUAUGCAGCCAUAAAAAAGAAUGAGAUCGUGUCUUUGCAGGAACAUGGAUGGAGCUGAAUGCCAUUAUCUUUUUCAAACUAACACAGAAAGAGGAAACUAAAUACCAUAUAUUCUCACUUUUAAGUGGGAGCUAAAUAAUGAGAACACAUGGACACAUAGAGGAAAACAACACACGAUGGGGCCUACUGGAGGACGGAGGAUGGGAGGAGGGAAAAUAACCAAUGGAUACUAAGCUUAAUACCAGGUGAUGAAAUGAUCUGUACAACAAAUGCCCAUUACACAUAUUUACCUAUAUAACAAUCUUUGCACAUCCUGCACACGUAACCCUGAACUUAAAAGUUAAAAAAAAGAAAGAAAGAAAGAAAGAAAGAAAGAAAGAAAGAAAGAAAGAAAGAAAGAAAGAAAGAAAGAAAACAUUGACAAAGACCAAAUUGCAAGACCAAGGGUGAUGCCUUUAUGAACUGCAGACAGUUGGGUUUUCCUCAAGGCUAGAGGGUAUAGUGAAAGAAGAGUCUAAGGAGGAAGCAAGGGUCAAAUAAGAGAAGUUUUGUAUGAUAUGGCAAAGGCCUAAUGGGGGCUUUGUAUUCUUUGGAAUACAAAGACUGUUUCAAGCAGGAAUAAUUUUACUGAAAUGGCUGACAGCCUGCAGUGUAGAUAGAAGAUGGAGGAAGGUAGUAGCCACAGUUUUUUGGAGAAAGAAAAUAAGACCAGUUUAAAUUAUAAGAUUAGAGUGCAUGUGUUACAAGGUCUUUACUCUUAAAUUUAGAUUCAGGCAAGGUCAUCAAAGUUUGCAGAAUAGGUGGAGGGUAAUGCAUUAAAGUGCAGAUCAUGAAACCUGAAUUGCUUCCUUUGUCCACUUGUUAGCAUUUUGUAGAACCCAGCCCACCAGGAAACAUAAAAUACCAGAAUGUAAUAUCCAUGACGGUUUGUCUAUUUUGUUCGCUGUUUCUCCACUACCCAGUACGUGCUGGGCCCUUAAUAAACAUUAACUGAAUAAAAUCACUGAAGGAAUUAAAGUCUGUCUUUAGCAUCUGAUCUCCUCCUAUGCUGCCUUCAUUCUAAGGCCUCUUGCCUAAGUAACCUCAUGCUAGGUGUGAACCACUUAUAAUUUUUCCCCCAAAUUCUCCUUUACUUGUGAACCUUUUCAUAUUUUACAAAACGAAGAUCAGGCUCUUGCCCUCCCCAUGUGUUAGCUCUAUGACUUUGGGCACAUUCAUUUGUUUUUUUAUGCCUAAGUCUCUGUAAAAUAGAGAUAGUAGCUAAUGCCCAUUGAGCAUUGGGCACUGACACUUAGAACCAGUCACUGUUCUAAGAACUUUAAAUGCCUUAACACAGUUAAUCCUGAGUACCCUCCUAUGUGGGCUAUACUACUGUCAUUCACCUAUUACAGAUGAGGAACCUUAGCCAAGAUAAGUCACAAAGCAAGUAAGUGACAAAGUCUAGAUCUGAACUCAGUCCAGCUCCUGAGACCAUGCUCUUAAUCAUUAUGCAUACUUGCUGUCCUGUGACACUACCACUGUCAUUGGACAGUUGUGAAGAUUACAUGAGAAUAAUCUACAUAAAAACACCUAGAAAAGUGCCCUACUAUAUUAAGUACCCAAUAGAAGUUAGAUUAUUUUGUUGUUAUUGUUUUACUCUGUUUAUAGCUUUUAGAAUCUUAUAUGUUCAUUGAUAGAUGAGUCACUAUUUCUCGAAGUAAAUUAGAUUAUUUCAUUUUAGGCAGAUCUAAUUAGAAGAAAGAAAGUCAUUGUUCGUUUGAUACUCACUUACACUUAACUUCCUGCAACUUUCCUCAUUGUUUCUAGUUCUGAACUGGGGAUAAAGAGAGGCAAGCCUAGCUCCACUUUCUUACCCCAACCCUCACAUAUUCAAAGAAGAGUGUUUUUGACACCUACAUAGUCCAUUCUUCAGUCUAAGCAGUUGAAUCACUUGCUGUUUCUCUUAUGGCAUGGUUUCCAGAUACUCUGAUUUGAUGCAGACACCUUUAUACCUGGGCAUCCAGAUGAGAACAAAAUGUUAUAACUCAUAUGUGGAAUACUAGCUGCAUAUAGAACAAGACAUUGAGAGAAAAGACUUGAAGAUAGUCCUGUCAGUCUGAAUUAUAUUCUCAGACACAGUUAUGAGGCCUUCCUUGUAUGGAGUAGGUAGUAAUUCUUGACUGAAUGACUUCAGUUAUAAACAAAUGUGUUAAUGAAUCCUCAGCUUACUCUUGACUUAAAUCCCCAAUCUUGUUCACAUGUACUUUUGCUUCUGCUGACUUCUGAGAUUGGUUUAGGAAACAUAUGGCAGGACAUUGUAUUAGUCCCUAUUAAACUUCAUUUUGUUUGACCUAUCCAGUCUUCCAACAUUUCAGAUCAUCUUGGAUACUAAUUUUGUCAUUUCAUGUAUUGUCAUUCUCUCCAAACAUCGUGUCAUCUGUAGAUUUCUCCUCUGGGCCAUUAAUACAAUCCUCUGAGUAUUUAAAUGGAAUAUAUUAUGCUCAUAUUCUAUUAAAAUAUUCAUAAGGGCUUAUUGCUUAAAGUGUUUUAAUUAAUUAUAAAUCAAUCACAUCUUUUUAGCAGUGCAUUUUAUCAUGAAUUGUCAAUAGGAAUAUCUGCUUAUUCAUUCAAUAAUUAUUAAAAUAUAAAAAUAUUUUUUCUAAAAUAUCACCCAAAUUUGAGUAAUGAAAAUUUUUUUUGAAGUUGUAAAAAUUUAUGAACACUUUGGUGGGGAUAGGCUUCUGAAAUAAAUUUGAAAAACUUAAAAUUAAUGUAAACUGAAAAUAGGCUCAGACCCCAUGGUGCUAACCUUUUCAUCACCAAAGAAAUUAACUGAAGAAGCUAAACAGUCUCAAGGCAUGUAGUACAUUACUAUUGAGAGAAUGUACAAGUAGGCUUGUCAUCAAGAGGUGAACAAUUUUAGUUAUUUAAUUUCGUGUAUCAGAAACAACUUCAACCAGUUUCUAUGAAAUUCAUGAAUAAAAGAUUUCCCACUUGUGAGAACUAAAGGGCCAGUAAUAAACCAAGUGUAUUGUUAAAUAAAAGACGUAAAUAUAAAUGGAAGAAAGUUUCUUAAAAUGAAGUCAAGCUUCUUUGGUGGGUUGCAAACUCUAAAUGUUAUUAAAGAGUAAAAUUAAAAAGAAAUUAUAAGUUAUACCCUGAAAUAUUGAUGAUCUCAAAAUUUAGAAAAAAAUUUAAUAACUGGAAUAUCUCAAUAAAAUAUCAUAAUUAUGUCACUUUGGUUAGAGAAUAUAGCUUUAAAAAUUUUAUUAGCUAAUUUGCAUUUAUUAAUUUGAGAAAACCUUCACCUUCAUUAAUUCAGAUUAGAAUUUUAAUUGUAAAACAGGUUUCAUUCUGUUGCCUUCCAGUUGUAUAUUGCUUCUGGGAGUAACAAGUUUUUUUAAAUUACAGUGUCUACCAUGUAAUCUCAUACAAGUUUAAAAUUUAAAGGUCUCUUGGCUGGGCACAGUGGCUCACACCUGUAAUCCCAGCACUUUGGGAGGCUGGAGUAGGCAGAUCAUGAGGUUAAGAGAUUGAGACCAUCUUGGCCACAUGGUGAAACCCCAUCUCUACUAAAAACACAAAAAUUAGCUGGUAGUGGUGGUACGCACCUGUAAUCCCAGCUACUCAGGAGGCUAAGACAGAAGGAGGCAGAGGGUGCAGUGAGCUGAGAUCACGCCACUGCACUCCAGCCUGGUGACAGAGUGAGACUCCAUCUCAAACAAGCAAACAAAUAAAUAAAUAAAUAAAGUUCUCUUAUAUUUUACUAGUUUUACUUUGACAAAAUUAGAUAAAUGGCAGAUUAUUUUUUUCAUAAGUAACAUUUCUCUUAACCUCAUUUCAUCUUAACCUCAUAGGUAUAAAAAUAUAUACAAUCAAACUCUAUCAUCCAAAUUGGAAGAAUAAUAGUAAUUCAUGUAGUCAAAUAAACAGGCAGAAAUAAAUUAGGAAAGCCAGAAGAAUCCCCAGACCUUCUGAAAGAAGGGCACUCAAAUACAGUGAGUGCCCAAACUGUGGAAAUGGGAAAGGGAGAUCCUCCACUCCUGAACACACACACACACACCAGGGAGCUUAAAGGUCUAGAUUAUGGAGGAACAUUCUGACCUUACAUGGAGCUGAGUCCAUUUAGAGAGCCAAGAAAAAUACAGGGUUAGAGGAAACAGUGGGGAAAUCCCUGUAAAGUCAUUGGGUCCCAUAGGAAGCAAUUUCUGCUUGACCUCACAGGGAUCCUUAAGCAGGGCUGCUUAAGGAUCCUCAGGCCAGAGGCACUGAGUAAAGGUCACAGGGAAAAGGAAACCUCUAAUUGAACUUUAUAACAAUUUGAACUGAUUGAGAAGUCUCCUGGCCAGAACUCAGGGGAGGGUGUGAAUCAGUGUGCAGACUCCAUAAGUUGGGGAAGAAGGAAAAAACCCUGCUUACUUUUGCAGCUGGGAGGCAGGUAGCCAGAGGCAAGUUCUCAGCUCUGCUGGCCCACUGCCUGGAAAGAGACUGUACUGUUGGAAGGGGCACAGUGGGAGUGAGACCAGCCCUUUGAAUUGCAUGGGAACUGUGGGAGGCCUGUAACUGUUGUUUUCCCCCCACUUCCCUGACAACGUACAUGACACAGUAGAGGCAGCCAUAAUCCUCCUGGGAACAUAACUCCAUUGACCUGAGGCCCUCACCCUCGUCCUUCAUAGCAGACACAGCAAGACCUGCCCAAAUAAAGUCUGAGCUCAGACAUGCCUAGCCUUGCUCCCACCUAAUUGUCCUUCUCUACACACCAUGAUAAAUAAAGACAAAGGGCAUAUACUCUUGGUAGUUCUAGGGCCCCACCCAACACCUGUUUCUCCUCAUACUACCACAGCUGAUAAUCUUUUUAAAGUGCCAUCUCCUAGCAGGACACCAAACUGCAAAAAAAUAGUACUGUUUAUUAUAUUGAUUGGUGGUUGAUUAUAAAUAACCAAAGCUCAGGACCCUCACAGAGUCCAUUUUACCACCUGCCACCUCUACCAGAGCAGGUGCCAGUAUCCAGAGAGACCCAUAGAUAUUCAUAUAACAGGACUCUGUACAGAUAACUCCCAGUCCCAGCCCAGAGCUUGGUAGACUUGCUGGGUGGCUGGAUCCAGAAGUGAGAUAAUAAUCACUACAGCACAGCUCUCAGGAAUCCAUAUCUCUAGGAAAAGGGGGAGAGUAUUACAUCUAGGAAACACCCUGUAGAUCAAAAGGAACUGAACAGCCUUGAGUCUUAGACUUUCCCUUCAACAGAGCCUAACCAAAUGAAAAGGAAACCAACUCUGGUAAUAUGACAAAACAAGGUUUUUUUAACACCCCCCCAAAAUCACAGUAGCUCACCAGCAAUGGAUCCAAACCAAGAUGAAAUCCCUGAUUUACCUGAAAAAUAAUUCAGAAGGUUAGUUAUUAAGCUAAUCAGGGAGGCACCAGAGAAAGGUGAAGCUCAAUGUAAGGAAAUCAAAAAAUGAUACAAGAAAUGAGGGGAGAAAUAUUCAGUGAAAUAGACAGCAAUGAAAAACAAUCAAAACUUCAGGAAACAAUGGAUGCACUUAUAGAAAUGCAAAACCCUCGGGAAAGUCUCAGCAAUAGAAUUGAACAAGCAGAAGAAAGAACUUCAGAGCUCAAAGACAAAGUUUUCAAGUUAACCCAAUCCAACAAAGACAAAGAAAAAGAAUAAGAAAAUAUGAACAAAGACAUCAAGAAGUCUUGGAUUAUGGUAAAUGACCAAACCUAAGAAUAAUCAGUAAAAAAAGAAGAGAAACGUAAAAGUUUGGAAAAUAUAUGUGGGGAAAUAAUUGAAGAAAACUUCCGUAGCCUUGCUAGAGAACUAGACAUUCAAACACAAGAAGCUCAAAGAACAUCUGAGAAAUUCGUCACAAAAAGAUCAUCACCCAGGCAGGUGAUGAUCUUUAGAUCUUUAGAUAACCUGUUAUCAGGUUAUCUAAAGUUAUGACAAAGGAAAGAAUCUUAAGAGCUGUGAGGCAAAAUCACCAGGUCACCUACAAAGGAAAACCCAUCAGAUUAACAGCAUAUUUCUCGGCAGAAACCCUGCAAGCUAGAAAGGACUGGGGCCCUAUCUUUUAGCCUCUUCAAACAAAACAAUUAUCAGACAAGAGUUUUGUACCCAGCAAAACUAAGCUUCAUAAAUGAAGGAAAGAUACAGUCUUUUCCAGACAAACAAAUGCUGAGAGAAUUUGCCACUAUCAAGCCAGCAAUAAAAGAACUGCUGAGGGGGUUGGCAGUGCCGUGUCAUGGAGGCUCAGUAUCUGAGCAGCCAUUGAAGGGGAAGGAACUGUGGGGGUGUGUGUAUGUGUGUGCAUGCAUGCAUGCAUGUGUGUGCGUGCUAGUGUGUGGACAAGGAGGUGGGGGCAGCUGAGUUAGAGUCCCAACUCUUGGAUUCCAUUUGCUAUUCUCUUCUUUCUCCCCCACACCUAUCUGGUGGUAGUGGGCGUUUAUAUUUGCAUUCCUUUUCAUUCAUUUCUGAAUCCUAAAAAUUAUGGGUUGGGGAUGGUGGGAAAGUCAGGAAAGGGAAAGGAAGGAGAGUAGUAGCUGAAGAGCAAGAGGAGGACAUGAAGAUGAAGAAGAAGAUUAACCUGGAGUUAAGGAACAGAGCCCCGGAGGAGGUGACAGAGUUAGUCCUUUUUAACUGCCUGUGUGUUAAUGGGGAAAUUGAAGGCCUGAAUGAUACUUUCAAAGAACUAGAAUUUCUGAGUAUGGCUAAUGUGGAACUAAGUUCACUGGCCCAGCUUCCCAGCUUAAAUAAACUUCGAAAAUUGGAGCUUAGUGACAAUAUAAUUUCUGGAGGAUUGGAAGUCCUGGCAGAGAAAUGUCCAAAUCUUACCUACCUCAAUCUGAAUGGAAACAAAAUAAAAGAUCUCAAUACAGUAGAAGCUCUGCAAAAUCUUAAAAAUUUAAAAAGUCUUGACCUGUUUAACUGUGAAAUCACAAACCGGGAAGAUUAGAGAGAAAGUAUUUUUGAACUGCUGCAGCAAAUCACAUACUUAGAUGGAUUUGAUCAGGAGGAUAAUGAAGCACCAGACUCUAAAGAGGAGGAUGAUGAAGAUGAUGAGGAAGAGGAAAAUGAAGCUGGUCCACCUGAAGGAUAUGAGGAAGAGGAGGAAGAAGAGGAAGAGGAGGAUGAGGAUGAGGAGAAAGAUGAAGAUGAAGCAGGUUCAGAGUUGGGAGAGGGAGAAGAGGAAGUAGGUCUCUCAUACUUAAUGAAAGAAGAAAUUCAGGAUGAAGAAGAUGAUGAUGACAAUGUUGAAGAAGGAGAAGAAGAGGAAAAAGAAGAAGAAAGUCUUCGAGGGGAGAAGAGGAAACGAGAUGCUGAAGAUGAUGGAAAGGAAGAAAAUGACUAGAUCAUUCUAAGACCAGAUUCUCUAAUAUUUCUGAGUGUGCGAUACAGUGAUCACGUCUUUGUUUCACAUAACAGAAGAUAAUGUGUAACUUUUUAUAGGAAAAGUGUGGUUUUGCUAUUUUUGCCUUAUCAUUCCAAAUAAGAACUAGUCUGUUAAUGAUUAUAUUUUAUGUAGAGAAAAAUUUUCAUUAACUAUCAUUGUCGAAUUCCCUAGCAAUUUAUUUAGACUUUUCAUUUUUAAAAUUCAAGCUUACUGUAUUAGGCAUUUUUGGCUCAUAAUUAAAACAUCACUUUUACACAGUUGUAGUUUGAUGGAUUUCAUUCCUUAUAUAUAUAUUAACUGAAAUUACAGUUUGCUGUAAUAUGAAAUGACAAUAGUCUCUUGAGUGGUAAGUUGGUUAUUUUUAAGAGGUAAUCCAGGGAUCUUUAGUUUGAAGGCAGUUACCUUUUUUUUGAGUAAGAGUGUUUGGUUGCUUUUCUGUCACAAGUAACUUGGAAAGUAGAAGCAGAAUAGUAAAAGUUCUAUUCAGCGACAUCGUUCACAGGUUUUGUGGAGGUUCUAUUCAGUAACAUAGUUCAUGGAUUUCAUGGUGACUGAUAAUUUCAUCUUUGAAGGACUGAUUUUAUUUUUGAAGGAAAAAUCGCUUAUACUAAGUCCAGAGACAUGCAGGUGAACCCUUUCAUCAGGCUGCAAAUCAUGACAUGCCGAUGGUGGUUUAUUUUAUUGUGUUUUAGGUGUGCAUUCUUUUUCUUCUUAGCAAUUUCUUUAUAAUCACCUCCCCUUCUUGAUUCUCUUCCCUUCUGCUCUCUCAAAAGAAAGUUGGGAAACUUGUGAAUACCCAGGAAAACUUUUAGUCUUAUACCUCAACUACCUUUCAGUCCUGUCUGGGUUUAUAUAAGUGAAGUGAAAGAAAUUGACUAUUUUCUGACCUAAGAAUAUAUUAUCAACACAGUUUUAUGCAGUAAGCUCUGCUUACCAUAAAUGUUUCUUGGUCGACAACAUCUAAGAGUAUAUUAGUAGGAUGAAGAAAGAAAAGCAGGGGGUGGUUUUGGAAGCAGUAUUAAUGUUCCUCAAAAGUCAGAACAAUUGCCUGUUGAUAAUCAACAGCCUGUUGAUAAUAAGACAUUAAAGUCAAAUUUUAAAGUUGGCUCCUCAAAUGUUUUGGAUACCACUCUGCAAAGUAUUCCUAAUUUUUCUGAGCAGAACCUUUAAUUCCUACAGUUUUAAAGCAUUACCAGAUAAAAGAAUAGCAUUUAAUUGGAAUAUAUUAAGCAGUUGAAAAAUAUUUAAAACUAAAUUGACAUUAAAAUUAAGAUUUGUUUUCAAGUGUAUGUCCAUUAUAAGUAGAAAAAUAUUUGGGAUGUGAGUGUGUGUUUUCUUACAUGGCUACUAAAUAAAACAUAACAAAUUGACAAGUGUAUCUCCCCUUUUGCUAUGGCAGCUGAAUGUUCAAGGCAAUGGCUUUUAAAUCUUGACUAUCUAAAUUUUUUCCCUUUGUUUUGAAUAUUUGUAAGUUUUUAAAAAGUUAGUGUUGGCAGAUUGAUUGAAGUUAUGCUUCUGUACCUGGGACAUAUUUAAAUACUGAGUAUAGUACUGCUGCUACUGCUUCUACAAUGUAAAAUGUGUGACUUGAUGUUUAAACAUAAAAAUUAUGAUGUUGUGGCUGGGCGCGGUGGCUCACGCCUGUAAUCCCAGCACUUUGGGAGGCCGAGGCAGGUGAAUCACGAGGUCAAGAGAUAGAGACCAUCCUGGUCAACAUGGUGAAACCCCGUCUCUACUAAAAAUACAAAAAAUUAGCUGGGCAUGGUGGCGCAUGCCUGUAAUCCCAGCUACUCAGGAGGCUGAGGCAGGAGAAUUGCCUGAACCCAGGAGGCAGAGAUUGCGGUGAGCCAAGAUCAUGCCAUUGCACUCCAGCCUGGGUAACAACAGCGAAAUGCCAUCUCAAAAAAAAAAAAUUAUGAUGUUACUGUGGAGAAACUAAAAAAGCUGCACAACUGACUGAAAUAAAACACUUGGAAUAAGUGUAGUGAGGAAUCUCCAAAAAACUAACAGUUUUCUUCUGCUUUUAAAAAUUGAAAUGCCCUGUUACAGUUCUUAACAAUUCUCAUUACAUACUAUGCCAGAUUACAAAAAUACUUAUUUUUAAAAUGAAAUCUAUAUAUUAACUUUCUUAUCAAUCAUCUUACUGUGCAAUCAAAAUUACAGUACUUUGGUUUGAAAACAACACUUAGAGCCUCCAGGUAACUUUUAAGACUUACUUAGCUUUGUGGGUGGUAUUUUCAUGCAAGUAAGUAAGGGUGGGUUUUAUAUUUUGUAGAAGUUUGUGGUCCUAUUUUAAUGCUCUUUGUAUGGCAGUAUGUAUAUAGUGUGUCAAGUUCCUCAAGAAUCUCCUUUAAAACUUUGAAGUUAAUACUUUUGUGCAACUGUGUUUUGAAUAAAGCCAUGUUUUGUUGUGUUAAAAACAAAACAAAACAACAACAAAAAAGAACUGCUAAAGGAGCUCUAAAUCUUAACUCAUGGAAACACAUCAAAACUGAACCUCUUUAAAGCAUAAAUCACACAGGACGUAUAAAACAAAUAUGAUUAAUUGACUAAUAGCAAGAUUAAUGGACUAGAACCUCACAUCUCAAUACUAACAUUAAACGCAAAUGGUCUAAAUGCUCCACUUAAAAGAUACAGAAUGGUAGAAUGGAUAAUAAUUCACCAACAAAAUAUGUGCUGCCUUCAAGAGACAAACCUAACACAUAAGGAGUCCAUAAAUUUAAGGUAAAGGGAUGGCAAAAGACAUCCCAUGCAAAUGGACACCAAAUGCAAACAGCAAUAGCUUCUUACAUUAGACAAAACAAACUUUAAAGCAACGGCAGUUAAUAAAGACAGAGAGGGGCAUUAUAUAAUAAUAAAAGGCCUUGUCCAACAGGAAAAUAUCACAAUCCUAAAUACAUACUCACCUAACACUGGAGCUCCCAAACUUAUAAAACAAUUACUGCUAGACCUAAGAAAAGAUAGAUAGCAACAUAAUAAUUGUGGGGGGUCUUUGAUAUUCCACUGACAGCAAUACAUGGGUCAUCAAGACAGAAAAUCAACAAAGAAAAAAUGGAUUUAAACUAUAUCCUAGAACAAAUAGACUUAACAGAUAUUUAGAUGGCAUUCCACCCACCAACCACAGAAUAUACAUUCUAUUCAACAGCACCUGGAACUUUCUCCAGGAUAGACCAUAUGAUAGGCCACAAAAUGAGCCUUAAUACAUUCGAUGAAAUUGAAAUUAUAUCAAGCUGUCUUUCAGACCACAGUGGAAUUAAAUUGGAAAUCAACUGCAAAAGGAAUCGUCAAAACCAUGCAAAUACAUCGAAACUAAAUAACCAGCCUUUGAAUGAUCAUUGGGUCAAAAAUGAAAUCAAGACGGAAAUUUAAAAAUCCUUCAAACUUAAUGACAAUAGUGAUUGCAGCCUAUCAAAACCUCUGACAUACAGCAAAGGCAGUACUAAGAGGAUAGUUCAUAGCCCUAAACACCUACAUCAAAACGUCUGAAGGAGCACAAACAGACAAUCUAAAGUCACACCUCAAGGAACUAGAGAAAUAAGAACAAACCAAACCCAAACCUAGCAGAAGAAAGGAAAUGACUGAGAUCAGAGCAGAACUAAAUAAAAUGGAAAUAAAAUAAUAAAAAAGACAACUAAAACAAAAAGCUGGUUCUUUGAAAAGAACCACAUAAACAGAAUCAAAUAAAAUUGAGAGACCAUUAGCAAGAUUAACCAAGAAAAGGAGAGAGAACAUCCAGAUAAGCUCAAUUUGAAAUAAAAUGGGAGCUAUUACCACUGACAUCACGGAAAUACCAAAGAUUCUUCAAGGCUAUUACGAACACCUUUAUGCAUGUAAACUAGAACAUCUAGAGGAGAUGCUUAAAUUCCUGGGAAGAUAUAACCUUCCUAGCUUAAAUCAGAAAGAAUUAGAUACUCUGAACAGACCAAUAACAAGCAGCAAGUUUAAAAUGUUAACAAAAGAAUUACCAACCAAAAAAAAAAAGUCCAGGACAAGACAGAUUCAAAGCAGAAUUCUACCUGAUAUUCAAAGAAGAAUUGGUAGCAAUUCUACUGACACUAUUCAUCAAGAUAAAGAGGGAACUCUCCCUAAAUCAUUGUAUGAAGCCAGUAUCACCCUAAUACCAAAAUCAGGAAAGGACAUAUCAAAAAAAAAGAAAACUACAAAUGAAUAUCUCUGAUGAACACAGAUGCUAAAAUCCUUAACAAAAUACUAGCUAACUGAAUUCAACAACAUAUCAAAAAGAUAAUCCUCCAUGAUCAAGUAGGUUUUAUACCAGGGGUGCAGGGAUGGUUUAACAUACACAAGUCAACAAAUGUGAUGCACCACAUAAACAGAAUCAAAAACAAAAAUCACAUGAUUAUCUCAAUAGAUGUCAAAAAAGCAUUCAACAAAUUCAGUAUCCCUUUGUGAUUAAAACUCAGCAAAACUGACAUACAAGGACAUACCUCAAUGUAAUAAAAGCCAUCUAUGACAAACCCAUAGCCAACAUAAUACAGAAUAGAGAAAAGUUGAAAGCAUCCCCUCUGAGAACUGGAACAAGAUGAGGAUGCCCACUCUCACCAUUCCUCUUCAGCAUAGCACUGGAAGUCCUAGCCAGAGCAAACAGACAAAAGAAAUAAAUACAGGGUAUCCAAAUUGGUAAAGAGGAAGUCAAACUGUGGCUGUUUGCUGAUGAUAUGAUUGUUUAUCUAGAAAACCCCAAAGACUCCUCCAGAAAGCUCCUAGAACUGAUAAAAGAAUUUAGCAAAAUUUCCAGACACAAAAUUAAUGUAUACAAAUCAGUAGCUCUUCUAUAUACCAACAACAACCAAGCAGAGGAUCACAUCAAGAACUCAAACCCCUUUACAAUAGCUGCAAAAAACAUUAAAAGCUUAGGAGUGUACCUAACCAAGGAGGUGAAAGACCUCUACAAGGAAAACUACAAACCACUGCUGAAAGAAAUCAUAGAUGACACAAACAAAUGGAAACACAUUUUAUGCUCAUGGAUGGGUGGAAUCAAUAUUGUGAAAAAGCCAUACUGACAAAAGCAAUCUACAAAUUUAGUGCAAUUCCCAUCAAAAUACCACCAUCAUUCUUCAUAGUAUUAGAAAAAACAAUCCUAAAAUUCAUAUGGAACCAAGAAAGAGCCCACAUACCCAAAGCAAAACUAAGCAAAAAGGUCAAAUCUGGAGGCAUCACACUACCUGAUUUCAAACUAUAAGGCCAUACUACUCGCCAAAACCGAAUGGUACUGGCAUAAAAAUCGGCACAUAUACCAGUGGAACAGAAUAGAGAACUCAGAAAUAAAUCCUAAUACUUAAACUGCCAACCGAUCUUUGACAAAGCAAACAAAAACAUAAAGUGGAGAAAGGACACUCUAUUCAACAUCAAAUAGUGCUGUGAUAAUUGGCAAGCCACAUUUAGGAGAAUGAAACUGGAUCCUCAUCUCUCAUCUAAUACAGAAAUCAACUCAAGAUGGAUCAAGGACUUAAAUUUAAGACCUGAAACUGUAAAAAUUCUAGCAGACAACAUUGGAAAAACCCUUCUAGACAUUGGCUUGUGCAAUGAUUUCAUAACCAAGAACCCAAAAGCAAAUGCAAUAAAAACGAAGAUAAGUAGCUGGGACUUGAUUAAACUAAGGAGCUCUUGCAUGGCAAAAGGAACAGUCAGCAGAGUAAACAGAUAAACCAUGGAGGAAAUCUUCACAAUCUAUACCUCUGACAAAGGAGUAAUAUGCAGAAUCUACAACAAACUCAAACUAAUUAGCAAGAAAAAAACAAUCCCAUCAAAAAGUGGGCUGAGGACAUGAAUAGACAAUUUUAUAAAGAAGAUAUACAAAUGGCUAGCAAACAUGAAAAAAUACUCAGUGUCACUAAUGAUCAGGGAAAUGCAAAUCAAAACCAGAAUGUGAUACCACCUUACUCCUGCAAGAAUGGCCAUAAUAAAAAAUAAUAGAUGUUGGCCUGGAUGCAGUGAAAGGGGAAUACUUUUACACUGCUGGUGGGAAUGUAAACUAGUACAACCACUAUGGAAAACUGUGGAGAUUCCUUAAAGAACUAAAAGUAGAACUACCAUUCGAUCCAGCAAUCCCACUACUACAUAUUUACCUAGAAGAAAAGAAGUCAUUAUACUGAAAAAGAUAUUUCCACUUGAAUGUUUAUAGCAGCACAAUUUGCAAUUGCAAAAUGUGGAACCAACCCAAAUGCCCAUCAGUGAGUGGAUAGGGAAACUGUGAUAUAUAUAUAUACCAAUGAGUGGAUAGGGAAACUGUGGUGUGUAUACACACACACACACAAUGGAAUACUACUUAGCCGUAAAAUGAAAUGAAAUUAAUGGCAUUCGCAGCAACCUGGAUGAGAUUAGAGACCAUUCUAAGUGAAGUAACUCAGGAAUGGAAAACCAAACAUUGUAUGUUCUCACUCAUAUGAUGAGAGCUAAGCUAUGAGGAUACAAAGGCAUAAGAAUAACACAAUGGACUUUGGGAACUCAGGGGGCAAGGGUAGGAAAGGGUGAGAGAUAAAAGACCACAAAUUGGGUGUCAUGCAUACUGCUUGGGUGCUUGGGUGAUGGGUGCACCAAAAUCUCACAAAUAACCACUAAAUAACUUACUCAUGUAACCAAACACCACCUGUUCCCCAAUAGCCUAUGGAAAUAUAAAAUAAAAUAAAAGACAUUUAAAGACUGAAUAUGGAUGCCAGUUCACAUCAAAACUGGAAGGAAUGUUUAGGGAUAUGAGCAUCUCAAACACAAUGAUGGAUGAAUUCAGGCAACAUCUUCAGGCAACUGGUGUAUCUUUAGGCGGUGUUGAUCUUACAGUCCGGGUGCUCACGACAGGAUAUUGGCCCACUCAGUCAGCCACACCAAAAUGCAACAUCCCACCAGCACCAAGACAUGCUUUUGAGAUAUUCAGAAGGUUCUACUUAGCCAAACACAGUGGUCGACAGCUCACACUCCAGCAUCAUAUGGGUUCUGCAGAUCUCAAUGCCACAUUUUAUGGACCAGUUAAAAAGGAAGAUGGAUCUGAAGUUGGUGUUGGAGGUGCACAAGUAACUGGCUCUAAUACAUGGAAGCACAUACUGCAAGUCUCUACUUUCCAGAUGACCAUAUUAAUGCUCUUUAAUAAUAGAAAAAAAUACACGUUUGAGGAAAUUCAGCAAGAGACAGAUAUCCCUGAAAGAGAGCUUGUUAGAGCCCUACAGUACCUCGCCUGUGGUAAACCAACACAGCAGUUUCUUACAAAAGAACCCAAAUCAAAGGAAAUAGAAAAUGGUCAUAUAUUUACAGUUAAUGACCAAUUCACAUUUAAACUACACAGAGUCAAGAUUCAAACAGUUGCUGCCAAACAAGGUGAAUCCGACCCAGAGGAAAGAAACAAGACAGAAAGUAGAUGACGACAGAAAACAUGAGAUAGAAGCUGCUAUAGUGCAGAUAAUGAAAUCUAGAAAAAAGAUGCAGCACAAUGUUCUAGUAGCAGAGGUAACUCAGCAGUUGAAGGCUCGAUUCUUACCAAGUCCAGUUGUUAUUAAGAAACGUAUUGAAGGACUUAUUGAGAGAGACUAUUUGGCACGAACACCUGAGGAUCGCAAAGUAUACACAUAUGUAGCAUAAAAUGCGUUCAGAAAUUUGAUUUAUUCUUGGACUGUACUCUUCACAUGGACUGGAAAGUUCUUUUAAAUCAUUAAAUAUUAAGACGACCAUCUCUUCUAUUAAAUUACAGUACAUAUUCUAGACCAUUCAGAUCAAGCCUUUACUCCCUUCGAGAGUUUUCAACAUCAAUUGAUUGAGCUUCAGGCUUUACAACGUUUAUCCCUGUAGAGAUCAUCUUUACAGUUCCUUGGGAAAACGUGAAUGUGCUGCAUUUUGUUUUCUUUACUGUAUGAAAACAGGAAAAAAAAAACAAAAAUUUAGACAAUACAGCUCAUUAAAAUAAAAUUGUUGGAU